Ciona intestinalis (vase tunicate) is the source of this 832-nucleotide RNA transcript. It is a transcript of the gene named glutathione S-transferase Mu 1 pseudogene, with no coding region annotated. Lineage: Eukaryota; Metazoa; Chordata; Ascidiacea; Phlebobranchia; Cionidae. The record is from RefSeq and is a predicted model, not a curated record.
CCAACAACGCGUGUGCCUGUGCGACCGUUUUAUACACCAACUAACUCUAGCAAGCAAAGUACCGUUUCAUCAGUUAGUUUUCUUAAGGCCAGUUAAGUAUUUCUGGUCGCCAUGACGAAAAUGUUGCUUGGGUAUUGGGAUCUUAGAGGGUUAGGCGAACCUAUUCGUUUAAUGUUGGAAUACGCUGGGUUCGAAUACGAAGAUAAGAGAUAUCAGUUUAUAAAGGAGAAGGAAGAUUACAGUGACAGGAAUUGGACCGAGCCCAAGUAUUCGCUUGGCUUCGAUUACCCCAAUCUUCCCUAUUUAAUUGAUGGAGACGUUAAAGUUACUGAGAGUUGGGCUAUCAUGAAAUAUCUGUCAAGAAAAUUUGAAAAACUUGGCCCUGAAAACGAAGAAGAACGGAUCAAGUGUGACGUCACAGAAGGCGUUGUUCAAGAUGUUCGAAAGCAGUUUUACGACUUAUGUUACUCAGCAACGUUUGUGACGUCGAAAGAAGAAUUCCUGCAAGAAAUCGCGCCAAAGUUGGAACAACUGCAACGGAGUUUGGAACAUCAUACUUGGCUGUGUGGUACAAAUCUAAAAUAUGUGGAUUUCGCAUUCUUCGAAUUCUUAGACCACCUUCGGGUCUGUCUACCUGGCAGUUUGGAUAAGUAUCCAUUAUUCGUCAAGAGUUUAAAGAGAUUUGAUUCCCUGGAAAAAAUCGCUGCUUAUAAAACGUCAGAAAAGUUUCAAAAAUGUCCUGUGAAUGGUCCAAUGGCCCAAGCCGGUGGGCAAGCGUGAUAUUAACCAUUUAAUAAACAAACAAAACGUAUUAUUGUACAAUAAUAACUUA